Pseudoliparis swirei is the source of this 487-nucleotide long non-coding RNA. RefSeq lists it as uncharacterized. The record is from RefSeq and is a predicted model, not a curated record. The transcript is spliced from 4 exons. Lineage: Eukaryota; Metazoa; Chordata; Actinopteri; Perciformes; Liparidae.
AGGGACGAAAGGGUGGACAAGGCUGUCAGAAGCGCCGAACAACCUGGACCAGACUGGCAGACACGUGACGUCAGAGUAAUUGGAUCAUGCGAUAAUUACUUGGUGGAAAUAUAUGUCUUGCGACACAUCAGAUCUCCAGUCAGAAGAGGAGGCAAUUCCUAAAAAGAGGAAGCCAAUGCCGGUCCAUUUCUAUGGAGACUCGGAUGGAGACAGUGAAAAUGAAAAUUCCCCCCACAAAACAGGGGUCCAACCACUAGCGGGACAGUUGUCCCUCCAAUCAUUGCCUCCUCCUAACUAUUCCAUGUACUCCAUCACCAGCAGGACAGCGAACACGCCAGGGGGACACGCCCACCUGGCGAGGGGCGUGGUGUGGUUCAGACACCAUUGCCUGCUGUGCUGUUCCAGUUCAAAUCCUAGGCAUGCUGGAGACAAUUACAGAGGUGAGAGACCCGGUUCCGUUUCCGUGUACCACAAUGGAGGAAGUGGA